GUCAAACUUUUACAAGACGAAAUGAAGAUGCGGGUUUUUAUAUAAAAAGAGCCGGUGAAAUGAAUAAUAAAAACUAAGAUAUAAUCCUGUAUGAAAUAUUGACACUAAACAAGGAUUAGAUACCCUUCUAUACAAUACUUAUCUUAACUGCAGGGGACUAAAACCAAAAAGGUUAAAACCCAAUCAACAUGGCGGUAAUCUCUGAACUUAGGGGAACUUACCUAGUAAAUGAUAACCACCAAGGUAACGCAACUUACAAAAAAUCUUGUAUGCCGUCGUCGUCAGGUAACACUUGAUGUUUUACCAGUGUAAUCACUUAAAAAGACAGAUCAAGGUGCAGACGAUUUGUAUGAAAAGGCGAGUUACAAUUGUAGAAACAUGCAACUAACUUUGUUAUAAUAGGUUAGAUGACGGACUUAAUAGUAAUUAGGAUUAAAUUUACAUUGUGAAUUAAAUGAGAUUGUGCACAA
RNAcentral lists this ribosomal RNA (470 nucleotides) under Austrochloritis nambucca. RNAcentral describes it as "partial 12S ribosomal RNA". Lineage: Eukaryota; Metazoa; Mollusca; Gastropoda; Stylommatophora; Camaenidae. The record is from RNAcentral.